This 301-nucleotide ribosomal RNA is filed under the name uncultured bacterium. RNAcentral describes it as "partial 16S ribosomal RNA". It matches the Rfam family "Bacterial small subunit ribosomal RNA", at positions 509 to 808 of the family's 1533-position model. The record is from RNAcentral.
CAGUAGCCACGGGAAAACGUAGGUGGCGAGCGUUGUCCGGAUUUAUUGGGCGUAAAGCGCGUCUAGGUGGUUAUGUAAGUCUGAUGUGAAAAUGCAGGGCUCAACUCUGUAUUGCGUUGGAAACUGUGUAACUAGAGUACUGGAGAGGUAAGCGGAACUACAAGUGUAGAGGUGAAAUUCGUAGAUAUUUGUAGGAAUGCCGAUGGGGAAGCCAGCUUACUGGACAGAUACUGACGCUAAAGCGCGAAAGCGUGGGUAGCAAACAGGAUUAGAUACCCCCGUAGUCCCUGUCUCUUAUACA